GCGGGCGUAACUCAGUGGUAGAGUGUUUGCUUCCCAAGCAAAAAGUCGAGGGUUCAAAUCCCUUCGCCCGCUCCA
This 75-nucleotide transfer RNA is filed under the name SAR202 cluster bacterium AD-804-J14_MRT_500m. Its description in RNAcentral is "tRNA-Gly". It matches the Rfam family "tRNA". Rfam says of the family: Transfer RNA (tRNA) molecules are approximately 80 nucleotides in length. Lineage: Bacteria; Bacillati; Chloroflexota; Dehalococcoidia. The record is from RNAcentral.